GACCUCGGAUCAGGUAGGGAUAGCCUGC
RNAcentral lists this ribosomal RNA (28 nucleotides) under Donadinia helvelloides. RNAcentral describes it as "partial 26S ribosomal RNA". The record is from RNAcentral. Lineage: Eukaryota; Fungi; Ascomycota; Pezizomycetes; Pezizales; Sarcosomataceae.